AGCCGAGGAGGUGGAUUUUACAGGCAGAGACAGCCGAAGGAAGCAGAAACCAAAGAAGGAGGAGCAGGUCAUUCAUUUCAGAAUCACUUUCCUGGGAUCCAUCUUGUCAGAAUGGGACAGGGGGCAAGAGUCCCAGUCCCACACCCACGGGCGCAGGACCCAGGAGGGGAUGUGACAGAUGUCCUGCGCCUUCACAUGAGCUAUGCCAGCUUAGUCCUGCAGCCGUCCCUGUCCCUGGGAAGCUGGCGAGACACCGGCAAGGCUGCCAGAGAGACCAGAGGUGAGGGCCCGGCUCCUCUACACCGAGGAGGAUUCUCCCCUCCGUCCUCACAGCAGCCCCAGGGGUGGCGAAAAUGACACCCGCACACAGACCAGCAGGAGCACAUUCUGUAAAGUCAUUAAAUGUGGCCAAGGGCCCUGCCUCACCAGAAAACCUCCAUCCCCCGAAGUUCCACAUUGUCAAGAGACUCAGGAGCCAAGGACACCAAGGUCGCAGUCCCUCAGCAGGCCUGAGAGAGCUCCUGUCCCUCUGUCUCCCGAGGGACGCUGUGCUCCCCAGCCCGACACGCGCUGGCUUUCAGCUCCAAAGGGAGAGGGCCAGCAAGACCGAAGGGGACAAGGAAGAGGGCGCCAGGCUUCUAUUAAAACAGCACGGACAAGGCCGGGGCUCCUCCCGGGGGGUCAGGAAGAACGAGGGUGCUACCUCCAGCUAGAACUGGGGACCCCACACCCCAGUUCUCAGUCCACCUGUGUACAGAUGGAUCAACAAAGUCCAGUACCACUUCUGCCAACCUUCCCGCAACCCCCCGGUGGCACACCAGGCUUGGUUUGCCAGGCAGCAGACCCCCGAGAACUUUGGGCAUGAGCCCUGGACAUGUGCACUUCAAAAGAGGUCGCUGUCCCUGGAAAGGAGCUCAGAGGACAUUUGAAAACAUGCAAGUGGCUGUUGAUUUGGACAGACACGGUGCUGUGUGUACCCAGAAUGCACCACAGAGGCCUGGGGAGUGUUCAAGGCAUGAACUUGAAGCGGCUGUGUCCACAGAGUGGAUCAGACCACAAGCUCAUCCUCCACAAGGCUCAGCAGCACCAGCCUCGGAAAGGUCAGAUCACCAAGGGGAGUCUCCGUUUACGUUGGGAAAACCAAACCCACAGAUGGAGCAGUGUGUCCCACUCCACGUGGGCACUGCCGGUGAUGAGGCUCAGACUCCAGCCCCUGCAGAAUGGAACCUGUGACCUCCUGAACGGUCUGUCUUCCCAACUCCUGCCCCAGCCUGGGCCCCAUGGGGACACCUGUGUGAAUGGUGUGGCAGGGAGACGGGCAGAGCCAUGGGUCGGUCCUACCUCCCCAAAACUUUGGAAGUCACCAUUGUACUUGUAA
This 1378-nucleotide long non-coding RNA is filed under the name Chinchilla lanigera (long-tailed chinchilla). RNAcentral describes it as "lncRNA (ENSCLAG00000028191.1)". Lineage: Eukaryota; Metazoa; Chordata; Mammalia; Rodentia; Chinchillidae. The record is from RNAcentral.